Tympanuchus pallidicinctus (lesser prairie-chicken) is the source of this 2274-nucleotide long non-coding RNA. RefSeq lists it as uncharacterized. The transcript has 5 exons. NCBI's taxonomy places the organism in Eukaryota, Metazoa, Chordata, Aves, Galliformes, Phasianidae. The record is from RefSeq and is a predicted model, not a curated record.
UGGAGAAACCAAGCCAGUCUUCCUCUCAUACAGACCAGGAAUAAAUCCAGAAUUUGCCACUUAAACCAAGUUUUGUCUUUUACAAAUCUUGCUUGGAAGAGAGACAGAGAGACAUGAUGUGACUAUCUUAUGGCCCCUCCAGAAUGGGAAGUGCCAUUUGGGAGUGGGGAUCCUACAGAAGCUCACCUAAAAACAUCAGAAGAAGAAGGAAGCGUUCUGAGAAAUUUGGUUGUCGCUAUCUAAGACUAUAAAUAGGCUUUUAGGAAGCCUGAAAGCUCCUAUAGUUUUACUUGUUAUUUUAAAAUGUUAAUGUCAUUUUAGAGCUCAUGAAAGACAUGAGAUUGCUGGUAAAGACCUGUCUAGCCACAUAUAGGAUCAGCAAGAAAUUCAGGUUCUUCCAUCCCAUUCAACCUUGCCAUAGAAGAAAGACCAGCUCAUGACGGCUUGCUCCAGCUAUUUGGAGAGACUCAGUGACCACACAGAUCACUUGGAAGCUGUUAACGCUGAUUGGAUGGAGUGUGGCCCUGUGCGAGGCUUUCCUACUGUGUGCCAUGUUGGCCCUCGCCACAGCCUCUAAAUGGGAGCAGGAGCCUGGCGUUGAGGAUGGUGAUGGCAAACAGGCUGACACGGGGAGGAUAAAAGAAAUUACUUCUGAGAAGGAGCUUGCUGCAAUCUAUCCCUGGUGCUUCCCAAUAUACAAUAGUGGCUUCAUCCCUGCCCCAUCACACUUCACAUGCACAGGGUUAAAUACAUCUGCUUGCAAAGUUGGCAGUGACCUUUUCCCACUUGUAUUUCUAGAGGGCAAAGUUGGCACUGGCCUAUGCUCACUUAUGUUUCUAGAGGCCUGGGUGCCAAGAAUUAUGCCCUUUGCCUAAAGAAGCUUUGCAAACCAUCCCUGUACGCUUGAGGUACAAGGAGAGUUUGCCUUGUCCAACCCUGCAGAAAGGCAGAAGAGCUUGGAAACUGUGAGUCCACAUUCCAGCCCCAAAUCUCCAGCCAUGCAACUCCCAUACAAUGAGAUGUGGCACAGUGCUUUGCUGGGUAGCUGCAGGGACAGUGGGGUGAAACAUGUACUGUGUGUGCAUGCUGCUUUUCCAGCAGUCCAACUGCUUCCUGAUAAACUGCACCAAGCAAUGUUGCUGUAGACAGCAAUAUCUAGCCCUUGGAAUGGUUUCAGUCAAGCCACACUUAUCUGUCAGCACGUGUGAGGAGAAAGGUGGGUGGAAGAAAAAAGUCAGAGCCGGCACAGCAGCAAAUAUUGACACAAAACAAUAGCAAAACAUUAUUGUAAAACCCACACAAAUGAACGGGUGAGUCUGUGGAUAAGCACAGCCCAGGCGAGUGCUUCAGAAUCAUGCAUUAAUGUUAUGCUUCCAGGGCUAAAGAAUGCACUUGGAGAAACACAGCCUGCGUAAGCACUGCAUGCAGAAACUGUGACGAGGGAAAUUCAGCAACAGGGAUUUGAGACAUGCAAAUUCUAGCAUGGGGCUGAGUUGAGCAACUAUGCACUUGCAGGUUUCUAACAACUAGGUCUGAAAAGAGGAAAAGGAGAAAAAGAAAAAGCACCUUGCUAGUUCUUUCACGUCACUGUGCACACGAGAACAGCUCACCGGGCUUCACCUGACUUCCUGUCUUCGUAGUCUGGAGAAUGCUGUGAGAUGCUACGGGUGUCUGCCCGUGAGGCAGCUCGGAACUGGCUCCACAAGCACUGUGUUUACCAGAGAAAACAGUAAAAAUCUCUGCUCGGUUCACUGCACACUGCACAAGCCAAAUGGCAAAGAGAUGUAUUUUUUUUUACUGUGCUCGGAAGUAAAUGGCAGUGCCAACACAUACAAAUAUGCGUCUGUUACUAAUGAGGUGUUUACAGCCCCUGCCUUGCCAAUUGCAUGUGUGUAAUACCUCAGCCCAUCUUCACCUCCAGGGCUCUGGGCAGGAGACAAUAAGUGCAAAUUAACGUAUGGACAUGCAUUAUCUCCUCCAGCUUGGACAAGGACUGGAAACCUCUUUAAGUAUUUUUAAAUGCCACAGCUCGCUACCAGGGCUUUAAAAUCCCUUCUCCCACCUCUUUGCUGAUGGUUAAAAUGUUCUGGGGACAGGACAAGAUGUUUAUAAUGGCAGGACAUUUCACUCUGCACUUUGUUUUAGCGUGUGGGGGGAAUAAUAAUUGUAUUCAGACUUGAAAUGGCUUGGGUUACGCAGUUCAGAGCACAAGCACCUGCAGCAAAUUAAUUUGUUGUAGCACAUUUAUUAUCUCAUAGCUUCUCUUUAGGCUGC